UACGGAGGGCGCAAGCGGUGUUCGGAGUCACUGGGCGUAAAGCGCGUGUAGGCGGCUUGGCAAGUCGGGUGUGAAAUCCCGAGGCUCAACCUCGGAACUGCACUCGAAACUGCCUGGCUCGAGUCCCGGAGAGGGUGGCGGAAUUCCCGGUGUAGGGGUGAAAUCCGUAGAUAUUGGGAGGAACACCAGUGGCGAAGGCGGCCACCUGGACGGUGACUGACGCUGAGACGCGAAAGCGUGGGGAGCAAACAGG
Molecule: ribosomal RNA, 253 nt
Filed under: uncultured bacterium
Lineage: Bacteria
Description: partial 16S ribosomal RNA
Rfam family: Bacterial small subunit ribosomal RNA
Source: RNAcentral